RNAcentral lists this ribosomal RNA (303 nucleotides) under uncultured bacterium. RNAcentral describes it as "bacterial SSU rRNA". It matches the Rfam family "Bacterial small subunit ribosomal RNA", at positions 28 to 333 of the family's 1533-position model. The record is from RNAcentral.
GACGAACGCUGGCGGCGUGCUUAACACAUGCAAGUCGAGCGGUAAGGCCCUUUCGGGGGUACACGAGCGGCGAACGGGUGAGUAACACGUGGGUGACCUGCCCUCAGCUCUGGGAUAAGCCUGGGAAACCGGGUCUAAUACUGGAUAUGACUCCAUGACGCAUGUUGUGGGGUGGAAAGCCUUGUGCGGCUGAGGAUGGGCCCGCGGCCUAUCAGCUUGUUGGUGGGGUGAGGCCUACCAAGGCGACGACGGGUAGCCGGCCUGAGAGGGCGACCGGCCACACUGGGACUGAGACACGGCUCA